Molecule: long non-coding RNA, 1244 nt
Organism: Apis dorsata (giant honeybee)
Lineage: Eukaryota; Metazoa; Arthropoda; Insecta; Hymenoptera; Apidae
Exons: 3
Source: RefSeq, a predicted model, not a curated record
CGAAGGGUUGGGGAGAAGGAGGAAUUUAUAACAGUUGGAUGGGAUGAAGAGGAGCACGAUCGAUCGUAAGUCGGAUGGGAAAGGGGAAGAAGGAUCGAAGGAAUUCAUCAUCGGGAGGGGAAAAAAAUGUAAGAGAGGCGAGUGAAAACUCGCGAGUAGUGGACGGUUUCCAGAUCUGAAGCGGUGCGAAAGCUGCUCGAACGAGGUGGUCAUCUUUCGAGUGGAGGGUGGUGAAAAAUAUGGGAUGGUCGUGGAAUCAUCGAAAGAAAGAGUACAGGUAAAAUGGUUCGGAAGUAGUCGAAAUUAUACGGAAAAGGGAAUGCCGCAGUAUCGUAAGGAAGGGGAGAAGAGAAAUGUUUUCAACCUUCUUUUUCUUCUUCUUCUUCGCCUAUCGCGAUACACCUUGUCCACGCCGUCGAUAUUCGUAUAGUUGGGAAUCGAUAUAAGAAGAAGGAGAGGAAGGAAGGAAGGAAGGAAGGAAGGAAGAAUCGGUGGUAAAGUGGGAGACCGAGAAAGCGAUGGAAGAAAAGGGAAAAGAAGUUCGUUGAUCUCCGGGGAAAUACAUCCGAGGAGGGCAGUUUUUGGAAAGAACGCAGCGACGACGGAUCGUCGUCGAGAGAUCGAUUCUCCUGAUAUACGAUCGAAGCGAAAGGAAAUCGGGAGUUCGGGAUCGAUCGGCGGAUAUAUACGAAGGAAGGACGAGAACGGACAGAGUCGCGAUGCGAUCUCGUUGCAUUCGAGGAACAACGAGCGUGCGAUCGUUGUUAACGAUGUUGGUGAAAAACUUGCCGUUUUUUUCUUUUAUCGUGCGCGAGCGUGCUCGGUAAAUUCGGGUUUUUACCGAGAGAACACCGGGGAACACCGGGCCGGUAGUAAAUGGCGCGUGUCGAUAGUUACGUUCGAUUCUCGCCGAAUAAGCGUUUCCCUUGUCCGUGCUUGUCCAUCAACUACGGACCAGGCAUCGAUAAAUAGUAUUUUUUUACCUACCGCUACGAUCGACCAACGAUCGGCGAGCGAGAUCGCGAAAUCCUCGAACGAUCGCUCGGCAACGUACAGCUCGAGAACGAAUUUCCCGUCCUAUUUGGUUGUUCUUCCAGCUCGACAGGUUGUCAUCGAGGCGCGCGCACACACACACACGCACACGCACACGCUCGAACGAUUUCGCCUCGUCUUCGCUCGUACGAAGAUCUCCAACGGCGGAACGAAGUGAAGGUGGUAUGUUAUGACGAGCGUGAUUUGUUUUU